RNAcentral lists this ribosomal RNA (207 nucleotides) under Salmonella enterica subsp. enterica serovar Infantis. RNAcentral describes it as "partial 23S ribosomal RNA". It matches the Rfam family "Bacterial large subunit ribosomal RNA", at positions 1292 to 1503 of the family's 2925-position model. The record is from RNAcentral. Lineage: Bacteria; Pseudomonadati; Pseudomonadota; Gammaproteobacteria; Enterobacterales; Enterobacteriaceae. RNAcentral also lists the same sequence under 39 other names.
GAAUGCUGACAUAAGUAACGAUAAAGCGGGUGAAAAGCCCGCUCGCCGGAAGACCAAGGGUUCCUGUCCAACGUUAAUCGGGGCAGGGUGAGUCGACCCCUAAGGCGAGGCCGAAAGGCGUAGUCGAUGGGAAACGGGUUAAUAUUCCCGUACUUGGUGUUACUGCGAAGGGGGGACGGAGAAGGCUAUGUUGGCCGGGCGACGGUU